CAAGAAAUAAAGGCUGGGGUUAUAGCUCAGUAGUCAAGCAUCUCUGGUUUCAGUCCCCAGUAUAGCAAGAACAAAACCAAAAAGAAAGGGGAAAAAGUAGGUUCAUAAAAAUAGCAUGAGUCACCUCUGCCACCAAAGUUGCUUAAGUAUGUCUUGAUGGCACUUCUUGUUACCCUAUGUUCUUUCCCCCUUCAGAGUUGCCUGAUAUGUACUAUAUCAGAGCAGGUUACUGAGAAUUUACUUUGAAUAAAUUUUCAAGAAGUUACUAGGGAAAAAUAUCAACAACAUGGAGAAUUUGAAACAGGAGGUUCUCUCAACUGUCCCUCUGACAAAGAUUUUGGUUUUGUCUCUUUCUGAAUAAACUCUGCCAUGAAUGAAUUAAAUCUAUGAAAUACAGAAGCUCUUUUUUUUUUAAGAAGACUGAUUCAUGAAAGAUUCAUCUGCAGUCUCUGAUUUGAAGGGGAAAUGGAAAAAUAAGAAAAGUUUCCCUUUGUUCUCAACAUCUCCAUUUGAAAAUUAGAGCGAGGAGGAGCCUUCAUGGUGAAGGAGAACUAUAAUAUACUCAGCUUUGGGGUUUGUGAGGAAUUACCAUGCUCUAAUAAGAAUAAAGAAGACAGAUGAAUAAUAGACCACUAAAUAACCCAUAGGAAUGUUGAUUUCUUAGUUGAAAAUUCCCCUUCUGGUAAUAGCUAUGUUUUCAGAAAGACUAGAGGUUUAAAGAUUGGGUUUACAAAGAACUAGAUUUUUUUUUCCUUGUGAUCUUUUACGUUUUGGGUUUCAGUUUUGCUAUAGCUAUAAUUUUAUCAUAAUGACAGACUUAGAUUUUUCUUUGGUAGGAUUUUUGCAACCCAUGCUUGCUUAACAUUUCCUCUCAUGUAAAAGAAAAUGCUCAGGGUAUUUAAAGGGGACUCUAAAGCAACUUUAAAACCUGAACUAAAAAUGUGUAUCAAAUAACAGUGGCCUAAUAUGUAAAAUAGAUACAUUGUAAAUAUAUGAGAUCAAUAGAAAUACAUUCGAAAGUUUUCUAGCCAAUUAUAUGUAUUUACUUGUUCAUUCAAUAGAUUUUGUUUCCAGAUAAAAUUAAUUGAAAUACAAUGUGAUCUAUAUGAAAUGCACCAGUGCUUUCUUAUGUGACCCAGACUCCUCAGAAGAGCACACAAUGCUCCUCAGGACAUCAAAAGCCCUUUGGGUUAUGGUCCUCAGUUAUAGCUGUUGUUUCAUGUCUUACCAUAAUGUACCAUAUUAAAUGUUUCAACUGUUUCCCCC
This 1266-nucleotide long non-coding RNA is filed under the name Marmota monax (woodchuck). Lineage: Eukaryota; Metazoa; Chordata; Mammalia; Rodentia; Sciuridae. The record is from RNAcentral.